Molecule: ribosomal RNA, 417 nt
Filed under: Triticum aestivum (bread wheat)
Lineage: Eukaryota; Viridiplantae; Streptophyta; Magnoliopsida; Poales; Poaceae
Description: partial small subunit ribosomal RNA
Source: RNAcentral
AUGGAAGGAGGUGCUCCAUCGAGGAGCCACCACUGGUGCCAUGGCAUCAGAAGAGGUGCAGCCAGGGAUGAGACGAGGAUACACCGCUUCCCCUGUGAGAUCCUUCUUUCACUCCCUCGAUUCACCUCUUCUCUUGCUCCCUCUCACUUGCUGCCCUCCAUCUUCGUCGUAUCCACGGCGCUGGAAGCUGGUGGGGCGAGGUGGCCGAAGGAGGAGGCGUGUGGAUCUGGGCCGGCCAGAUCAGCAACCCCGGCUCCUCCUGUUGAGCACGGAGGCCCUCAUUUUCUCUUUCUCCCGCAGGGACCGAUCCAUGGCUGGAUCGAUUCGAGCGUCGCCCUUCCCUUGCAGGUCGCUGCCGCGCCCGCACGCCUCGGGUCCGGUGGGAUCCGGGAUGACGAGGGGGGAUGGGAUGCGUGA